CCUCUUCUUUUUUUCUUAUAUAAGCUACCACUUAAAAAUAUAUGCUAUAUUAAUUAAGCCCAUGCCUAAUACCUAUUAGUAUAGUAUGGGUCACUCCAUAUGGGGCUAGCCUAAAAUAUAAGUAGUAAGCCCAACAAUCUUCCUCUCUAGAUUCAUAAGGAUGACUCUCAUUACUUAAUGAAUCCAAUAUCUGAGUGCCUAUGCUCACCAUGCACCUACAUCCACCAAGUCGCUAUUAGACCUGAGCAUGGGCCAGGCAGCCCAUCUAGCCCGAUAGCCCUAGUCUGUGAUUUGGAUGAGCUUGGAUAUGGAGAAUUCACAAGAGACCUGGCCCAGCCCGAGGCCCGAGAGACCCGCUCACUUUUAUGGUUGGGCUUGAGAAUCUAUGUAAAUACUUAACUUGGCCUAGCCCGGCCCAAGAAAUAAGUGGAGGUUUAGAAACCCUUCAUACCCCCCACCCCAAAUCUUGCUUAGAGUGCCCACCACCCAACAAUAUUUAAUACCUUUAGUUGUAAAUGCAAGGGACCUUCUGUCAUAGCCACCUCUGAAUUGUGCAAAAAUUACUCAUGUUUUACUCUGUUUACCCAUAUGAUUUUUCACAUAGAAUCUUUACUAUUUAAAAAGAAAAAAAAUAGGUGGAUCUCUUGGGCAAAGUUGGGCAGCCCAUCCAUCAUCUAGGAUUGGGCCUAGGCAGCAAAGAUAAGCCCGAUGGUUGGGCCGGGCUGGGCCUAGGUUGAGAAAAAAGCUGCUAAUAUCUUAGCAAGGCCUAGUCCGAGACCACCCAAGUCCGCCUAUUGC
RNAcentral lists this long non-coding RNA (798 nucleotides) under Elaeis guineensis (African oil palm). Its description in RNAcentral is "long non-coding RNA (EGUI_LNC017204)". The record is from RNAcentral. Lineage: Eukaryota; Viridiplantae; Streptophyta; Magnoliopsida; Arecales; Arecaceae.